RNAcentral lists this ribosomal RNA (406 nucleotides) under Verrucomicrobiota bacterium. Its description in RNAcentral is "Verrucomicrobia bacterium partial 16S ribosomal RNA". It matches the Rfam family "Bacterial small subunit ribosomal RNA", at positions 355 to 776 of the family's 1533-position model. Lineage: Bacteria; Pseudomonadati; Verrucomicrobiota. The record is from RNAcentral.
UGGGGAAUAUUGGGCAAUGGGCGAAAGCCUGACCCAGCAACGCCGCGUGAGUGAUGAAGGCCUUCGGGUUGUAAAACUCUUUGGACAGGGACGAAGAAAGUGACGGUACCUGUAGAACAAGCCACGGCUAACUACGUGCCAGCAGCCGCGGUAAUACGUAGGUGGCGAGCGUUAUCCGGAAUUAUUGGGCGUAAAGGGUACGUAGGCGGUCUAUUAAGUCAGGUGUGAAAGCGUGAGGCUUAACCUCAUUAAGCACUUGAAACUGAUAGACUUGAGUGAAGGAGAGGAAAGUGGAAUUCCUAGUGUAGCGGUGAAAUGCGUAGAUAUUAGGAGGAAUACCGGUGGCGAAGGCGACUUUCUGGACUUUUACUGACGCUCAGGUACGAAAGCGUGGGGAGCAAACAGG